GGGUCACUAACAGGCGGACCGCGGUCCGGGUCCUGACCCAGACGCCGUCCUAUACGGACCCGGACCUAUAGUCAAUAAAUUAUUCAAAUAUUUUUAAUUUUGACGUGGCUUCUAUUUUGACCGGCGCAGCGUUUCUAGACAUUCCGGUACUGGUUUACGGAAUCAGGAAAUCCCUUGACCAAUGGCAUUCGAGGCCAUCCCACGUGAUGCUACUCAGCCAAUCGAAUCCGUGCAUUCCCGGCACAGGCUGCCUGGCUCACAGACAGUGAGACAGAGAGCGUUCAUGUGAGAGAUGACAGAGAGAAGUGCGAGAAUUACAGAGAAAGAAGUCAGAUAAGAGUGAGUAAUACAGCGGGAGAAGGCAGAUAAGAUAGCGGGAGAAGAGUGAGAAAGACAGCGGGAGAAGAGUGAGAAAGACAGCGGGAGAAGAGUGAAUAAUACAGCGGGAGAAGAGUGAGUAAUACAGCGGGAGAAGAGCUGGCACUCAGGCUGACACACCUGCAGCAGAUCUGAGAUCGCUACCGCCCAAUUACCAGCCUGCUGUAUGAAGCCAGCAAAGUCAGUUGCUUGGGACACAGACCCGGCAACACCUUUGUCCCACAGUGCGAGUUGUUAAAUAGCCUUUUCUUUCUGUAAUCUUUGAUCUAGGCCUGGGGAUGGCCGGCGGUCCUACUUUUCCGUUUAGUUCUUAGUUCAUAAUUUGGUUUUGUCAGGCAGGGAGGGGGGCCAGCCUCGACGUCCCUAUAGGGCAGGGGUCGGCAAAUAGGUGCCCGCGGGCCAAUUUUGGCCCGCCAUCUAUUCUGUCUGGCCCACGAGAUGACGUUAAUUUGAUGUAAAAAAUUAAUAAAAAAAAAAAAUCUCAACCCCAUAUUUUUAAAAAGAAAAGAAAAGGCAUACAGCAAUCCCAUCAAUUUCGAAACAUUUAUUGAGGUAUAGAUGAUAGUCCUAAAGUGACAAAACAGGUGGAACAUCUGUGCAGUUAUCCAUGACGCACAGGUCGGAACGGUAUUGGCACGCCAGUGCGCGUAAUCUUGUGCAAAAAAAAACCAAAAGUGUCCUGUCUCCCUCCUCCAGUGGGCAAGGUAAAAAA
Gadus morhua (Atlantic cod) is the source of this 1090-nucleotide long non-coding RNA. RefSeq lists it as uncharacterized. Lineage: Eukaryota; Metazoa; Chordata; Actinopteri; Gadiformes; Gadidae. The record is from RefSeq and is a predicted model, not a curated record. The transcript has 2 exons.